GUUUUAAUCACAAAAAGAAGGCAAACAGAAACAGUUCACAAACCAAGUACACUUUUUCAUGUUUUCUUUUUUAUAAUCAUAUCUACAUUAAGUGUCAAAUAUCACAACUUUCAGUUUUUGGAUGACUUAUAACAAACAAGACAAUAACAAAUUACAGUUGAAACCAGGCAUUAUGAGAUAUAUGCCCCAUUUUCAAUAAUUUAAUGUAAGUUUAGAUGUUAAGCUGGGGGGGCUGUUUGUCUGUCAGUAUGUCAGUCAGUCUGUCCGUGUGUCCUAAAUAUAGAAAUGCAGAGUCAGUCUCUAUGAUGGUCCAUAUUUUACUGUUGACUCUGCAGACAAGUAGUGUUGUCAAUAAGGAAUUGGUUUCAUAGUGUUAGUAAUCAAAUCCACAGAUGCCUCUUCGUCUACUAAAAUACCCUCACAACACGUACACACAGUUAUACAACAACACAAAGAUAUAUCAUCUGUCUAUCAUACAUACACUCAGUGAAUGGCAGGCUACUACCAACACUUAUUCCCUUUUCAAAUAUUUUCUUUGGACUCACACGGUCCAUGUACAGUUGAAAUGACAUUGGCCCCCGGAAAUGCUUAAUAUGGAGUGUUUGUAUUGAUAGUAAAAACAGGACAGAGACCACUGUGAAAUGGUGAAUAAAUAAGGUUAAAGACAGACGUGACAAUGUGACCCGAUCCAACUAGCCUAUUGAAGUAGCACCUUGCAUUGUUCUGCCACACUUGCCCAGACCAGUGUAUAAAACCUUUUCCAAACAAUGAGUAUACAUGGCUGUUGGUGGAAUUCCAGUGUUUUAGAUUGAAUUAAAUAAAAUAUAUAUUUGUUUUAUACAGGAAACAAGAUUCUACAUGUUACUACUAAAACUUGUAAUAUAUUUACUUUGUAGUUCCAGUGCCUGCCUUAAUUAGUGCCCUAAGAAUAGGCUAGAUCAGUGGUUCUCAAGCAGGAGUUUUAAGACAAGGAGUACUAGAUACUGGGGCUACUUGGCCUAUUCACAGGCGUACAUGAGAAGACUCAUAAAACCACAGGCUGGUGAAACUGGUGAAAUGCAAUGGGGGACAUUUCAGAAAGAAAUUCAGUUUGUGGUACAGUAACCAGAUUAGGCUGGGAACCCCUGACCUUGCUGAUGUCAUGAUGAAGUAGCACUUGAUCAUAAUGAAUACACCGCUCGGAUCUGUCAACGCUAUACGUCGAUCCAGAAGUCUGAGCUCAUAGAAAUGUCAUUGUUGGCCCAUCCUUAUUUGUUGUUGUCCUUCCAUUGCUGUGGUCUCACAGUCCUCCCCUUGGUACAUCUUUUGUGUGCCAGUCUUCUUCCCCAGCAAGCAAAGUUGGUUGAAAGGUGUCUUGUCAAUGUCUUUUUGAACAAAAACACAUCUUCACCAUGCUCACAUGGUCUGCUUAAUAAUAGAAAAUAUUUUCGGACUGAGAGGGAAGAACUUUAGUCUUGGAUUUCUCUACAAGUCUGAAUCAGCCCACUGGUCGGGUCUCGAAGAACCACAAUAAGCCAUGACAGUGAAAAGCAUACAAAGAUUUUUGAACCAGACUCGACAUCUGGGGACCAAAGUGGUUUUCUGCACUGUUCAAUAACAAGUACAGAGGGAUCUCCAAGAACAAUGAUUCCAACAACCGCACCGUCUCCUUGUGAACGUUCCAGCGUCCGACUGGUGAAGCAUCCGGUUGCUUUCAGGAGAUAUUAUCAGGAUCAGAGAUAUGUUGAGGGAUCAGCACAAUCUCAUGUUCAUCCCACUGCUCUCGACCCGCCGUCACAAGGGUUGGUUACUGGUUCACCAGACACGUUUAUUAGUAGUAUUACGGAAUACCUCAUGGCCGUAGGAUGAGCAGGUCACUGACACAUUAAUGUUCACUCACAGGAAGGAAAACAAACCGCUGGGCAACGUUACAGCAUCACUCAAUGGGUGAAUAGACU
Esox lucius (northern pike) is the source of this 1937-nucleotide long non-coding RNA. The record is from Ensembl. NCBI's taxonomy places the organism in Eukaryota, Metazoa, Chordata, Actinopteri, Esociformes, Esocidae.